GUGGGGAAUAUUGGGCAAUGGGCGAAAGCCUGACCCAGCAACGCCGCGUGAGGGAAGAAGGCCUUCGGGUUGUAAACCUCUGUCCUUGGUGACGAAGAAAGUGACGGUAGCCAAGGAGGAAGCCCCGGCUAACUACGUGCCAGCAGCCGCGGUAAUACGUAGGGGGCGAGCGUUGUCCGGAAUUACUGGGCGUAAAGGGUGCGUAGGUGGCCUUUUAAGUUGGAUGUGAAAUACCCGGGCUUAACUUGGGGGGUGCAUCUAAUACUGGGAGGCUAGAGUGGAGGAGAGGGAAGCGGAAUUCCUAGUGUAGCGGUGAAAUGCGUAGAUAUUAGGAGGAACACCAGUGGCGAAGGCGGCUUUCUGGACUGUAACUGACACUGAGGCACGAAAGCGUGGGGAGCAAACAGGAUUAGAUACCCUUGUAGUCC
RNAcentral lists this ribosomal RNA (428 nucleotides) under uncultured bacterium. RNAcentral describes it as "partial 16S ribosomal RNA". It matches the Rfam family "Bacterial small subunit ribosomal RNA", at positions 354 to 796 of the family's 1533-position model. The record is from RNAcentral.